This 332-nucleotide long non-coding RNA is filed under the name Elaeis guineensis (African oil palm). RNAcentral describes it as "long non-coding RNA (EGUI_LNC045822)". The record is from RNAcentral. Lineage: Eukaryota; Viridiplantae; Streptophyta; Magnoliopsida; Arecales; Arecaceae.
GGGGUGCAACUACUCUAUUGGCAUGAGAUGCUAUGGGUAAAGAUGAGAUUGAGCCCAAUAAUUAUUAAAUGAGGGACCCAAUAGCGGCAUUGUACUUGUAUUGAAUGGUGGGUUUGACUUAGCUAAGAAAUAGGACAAAUAACUAUUAAGUGAGGCUUCAAAACUUAGAGAUCGGUAACCACUAUAAUUUGCUUGAGAAGCAAUAGACAAAAGUUGUCUACUCAUCAGUUGACGCAUUACCAAUAAUUGUUAGAUGAGGUGGUGUGCAAUUGAUGAGAUCACGUAUCCACUUGAAAUCUUAAUCAUGAAGGUUUUCAUUUCUCCAUCAGAGG